GACGAACGCUGGCGGCGCGCCUAACACAUGCAAGUCGAACGAGCGAGAGAGAGCUUGCUUUCUUGAGCGAGUGGCGAACGGGUGAGUAACGCGUGAGGAACCUGCCUCAAAGAGGGGGACAACAGUUGGAAACGACUGCUAAUACCGCAUAAGCCCACGGUGCCGCAUGGCACAGAGGGAAAAGGAGCAAUCCGCUUUGAGAUGGCCUCGCGUCCGAUUAGCUAGUUGGUGAGGUAACGGCCCACCAAGGCGACGAUCGGUAGCCGGACUGAGAGGUUGAACGGCACAUUGGGACUGAGACACGGCCCAGACUCCUACGGGAGGCAGCAGUGGGGAAUAUUGCACAAUGGGGGAAACCCUGAUGCAGCGACGCCGCGUGGAGGAAGAAGGUCUUCGGAUUGUAAACUCCUGUUGUUGGGGAAGAUAAUGACGGUACCCAACAAGGAAGUGACGGCUAACUACGUG
RNAcentral lists this ribosomal RNA (465 nucleotides) under uncultured bacterium. Its description in RNAcentral is "partial 16S ribosomal RNA". It matches the Rfam family "Bacterial small subunit ribosomal RNA", at positions 28 to 507 of the family's 1533-position model. The record is from RNAcentral.